Molecule: ribosomal RNA, 1304 nt
Filed under: Neomollisia gelatinosa
Lineage: Eukaryota; Fungi; Ascomycota; Leotiomycetes; Helotiales; Mollisiaceae
Description: SSU rRNA
Rfam family: Eukaryotic small subunit ribosomal RNA
Source: RNAcentral
CUAUACCGUGAAACUGCGAAUGGCUCAUUAAAUCAGUUAUCGUUUAUUUGAUAGUACCUUACUACUUGGAUAACCGUGGUAAUUCUAGAGCUAAUACAUGCUAAAAACCUCGACUUCGGAAGGGGUGUAUUUAUUAGAUAAAAAACCAAUGCCCUUCGGGGCUCCUUGGUGAUUCAUAAUAACUUAACGAAUCGCAUGGCCUUGUGCCGGCGAUGGUUCAUUCAAAUUUCUGCCCUAUCAACUUUCGAUUGUAUGGUCUUGGCUUACAAUGGUUUCAACGGGUAACGGGGAAUUAGGGUUCUAUUCCGGAGAGGGAGCCUGAGAAACGGCUACCACAUCCAAGGAAGGCAGCAGGCGCGCAAAUUACCCAAUCCCGACACGGGGAGGUAGUGACAAUAAAUACUGAUACAGGGCUCUUUUGGGUCUUGUAAUUGGAAUGAGUACAAUUUAAAUCCCUUAACGAGGAACAAUUGGAGGGCAAGUCUGGUGAGCAAUCAUGCUGACGCCAGCAAUAGUGAGUUUCAUUAGUCGACCGCACCUGUAGACUUGGGGUGUGCGGCGGCAAGACAACCUGGAUCGGGGAAGGCUAAGGCGGUAAUGCUAUGCUAAUCCCGAGCCGAGCUGCGCGAGCAGCCGGUGUAGAGCGCGCAAAGGUGUCGGUCCACUGAUUACAGUGGGCUUAAGGUACGUGCCGUCCCCUGUGAAAGCAGGUUGCAAGCCUGAGCUCCCCAAGAGUAUAGGGCUUGCGAGACGUAUAUAGUUGACUUAAACGGCCAGCAGCCGCGGUAAUUCCAGCUCCAAUAGCGUAUAUUAAAGUUGUUGCAGUUAAAAAGCUCGUAGUUGAACCUUGGGCCUGGUUGGCCGGUCCGCCUCACCGCGUGCACUGGUCCGACCGGGUCUUUCCUUCUGAGGAGCCGCAUGCCCUUCACUGGGUGUGUCGGGGAAUCAGGACUUUUACUUUGAAAAAAUUAGAGUGUUCAAAGCAGGCCUAUGCUCGAAUACAUUAGCAUGGAAUAAUAGAAUAGGACGUGUGGUUCUAUUUUGUUGGUUUCUAGGACCGCCGUAAUGAUUAAUAGGGACAGUCGGGGAUAUCAGUAUUCAAUUGUCAGAGGUGAAAUUCUUGGAUUUAUUGAAGACUAACUACUGCGAAAGCAUUUAUCAAGGAUGUUUUCAUUAAUCAGUGAACGAAAGUUAGGGGAUCGAAGACGAUCAGAUACCGUCGUAGUCUUAACCAUAAACUAUGCCGACUAGGGAUCGGGCGAUGUUAUCUUUUUGACUCGCUCGGCACCUUACGAGAAAUCAAA